UAUACAUGCAAGUCGAGGGAGAUUGUUGGAUUCCUCUGACAUGAAACCGGCGCACCGGUGCGUAACACGUAUGCAACCUACCUUUAACUGGGGUAUAGCUCAGAGAAAUCUGAAUUAAUCCCCCAUAAGACUACGACAUGGCAUCAUGAUGUAGUUAAAGCUCCGGCGGUUAAGGAUGGGCAUGCGGUACAUUAGCUAGUUGGUGAGGUAAUGGCUCACCAAGGCUACGAUGUAUAGGGGGUCUGAGAGGAUGAUCCCCCACACUGGUACUGAGACACGGACCAGACUCCUACGGGAGGCAGCAGUAGGGAAUAUUGGUCAAUGGACGCAAGUCUGAACCAGCCAUGCCGCGUGAAGGAUGAAGGCCCUCUGGGUCGUAAACUUCUUUUAUUAGGGAAGAAAACAUGGGAUGCGUCCCAAACUGACGGUACUUAAUGAAUAAGGAUCGGCUAACUUCGUGCCAGCAGCCGCGGUAAGACGAAGGAUCCAAGCGUUGUCCGGAUUUACUGGGUUUAAAGGGUGCGUAGGCGGAAAAUUAAGUCAGUGGUGAAAGCCCGCAGCUCAACUGUGGAACUGCCAUUGAAACUGAUUUUCUUGAAUAUAGCUGAGGCAGAUGGAAUAUAACAUGUAGCGGUGAAAUGCUUAGAUAUGUUAUAGAACACCGAUUGCGAAGGCAGUCUGCCAAACUAUUAUUGACGCUGAGGCACGAAAGCGUGGGGAGCGAACAGGAUUAGAUACCCUGGUAGUCCACGCCCUAAACGUUGAUUACUCGCUGUUGGCGAUAUACUGUCAGUGGCUAAGCGAAAGCGUUAAGUAAUCCACCUGGGAAGUACGACCGCAAGGUUGAAACUCAAAGGAAUUGACGGGGGCCCGCACCAGCGGAGGAGCAUGUGGGUUAAUUCGAUGAUACGCGAGAAACCUUACCUGGGCUUAAAUGU
RNAcentral lists this ribosomal RNA (938 nucleotides) under uncultured Bacteroidota bacterium. Its description in RNAcentral is "bacterial SSU rRNA". It matches the Rfam family "Bacterial small subunit ribosomal RNA", at positions 50 to 988 of the family's 1533-position model. Lineage: Bacteria; Pseudomonadati; Bacteroidota. The record is from RNAcentral.